This 402-nucleotide ribosomal RNA is filed under the name uncultured bacterium. RNAcentral's name for it is "bacterial SSU rRNA". It matches the Rfam family "Bacterial small subunit ribosomal RNA", at positions 356 to 774 of the family's 1533-position model. The record is from RNAcentral.
AGGGAAUAUUGGUUAAUGUGCGAAAGCGCGAACCAGCAACGCCGCGUGUGCGAUGAAGGCCUUCGGGUCGUAAAGCACUUUUUGCAGGGAAGAGGAAGGACGGUACCUGCAGAAUAAGUCUCGGCUAACUACGUGCCAGCAGCCGCGGUAAAACGUAGGAGACGAGCGUUAUCCGGAUUUACUGGGCGUAAAGCGCGUGCAGGCGGCAUGGCAAGUUGGAUGUGAAAGCUCCCGGCUUAACUGGGAGAGGUCGUUCAAAACUGCCAACCUUGAGAGUGGUAGAGGGAGGCGGAAUUCCGGGUGUAGUGGUGAAAUGCGUAGAUAUCCGGAGGAACACCAGUGGCGAAAGCGGCUUCCUGGCCCAUUUCUGACGCUCAGACGCGAAAGCUAGGGUAGCAAACG